AAAAUGUUCAAAACAAUGGGGCAGCAGAGUACCCCUUUAAGACCAAGACGGUCACACAUGCUCAGUUCAAUUGCAUAUUGCUUGUUUGUCUCUACUGUGUAUGCAAGCAAGGGGGAUUGUGGGAAAGUGUGUGCUCUGUUGCCUGGCAACUGCAACGUCCCAGUUAAUAGAAGAAACCAGGAAGUGAUCAGAUCCAUCGGGGGAGAAGAACAGUACAGGGGUGUAGGAAUUAAUUAGGGGCCUGACGAAGCGCUGUAAGCGCGAAUACGGACCGUCGCCCAUUCCUCUCCCCCGCACGCCUAGCCGCUCUCCCCUAUGUGUACCUAUGCUGUCAAGCCUGCCUAUAUGAAUAAAGAAGCUUGAUUCCCCCCACAAGACCUGACAUGAAAUCUCGCGAGAUUACGGUCCAUAAGUAGUGGUGGUGGGUUCAUUCACAUUAGGCUUGAGAAAGGGAGAGAUCCUGAAACGGCGCCCUGCAUUUUCACCUUCGGGUGAGCAUUUAUUCGCUGUUUGGAGAGAAGGCAGGAGGUACGGCUAACAUGGACACUGCUAUACGGAGCUCCGGCUGGAGCCUUAAGAUCUGAAUUGAUGCCGUAGACCUCAUCAGCGACGAGCACUGGGGGAAUAUGAGGUGUUCCUUUACACUGUUCCCGUAUUUUAAGUUUUUGUAUGAAGACAUACGGUCGAAGUAAAAGUGGUAU
Molecule: long non-coding RNA, 701 nt
Organism: Hyla sarda
Lineage: Eukaryota; Metazoa; Chordata; Amphibia; Anura; Hylidae
Exons: 3
Source: RefSeq, a predicted model, not a curated record